This 304-nucleotide unclassified non-coding RNA is filed under the name Hevea brasiliensis (rubber tree). Lineage: Eukaryota; Viridiplantae; Streptophyta; Magnoliopsida; Malpighiales; Euphorbiaceae. The record is from RNAcentral.
UUGGACAAGAGUAGAUAAAUAUUAACAUUUUUAUAUAUUCCUAUUCAAUUGAUAUAUUUUAUAAACUGUUAAUUAGCGUAGGAUGCAUAUUCCCAAAUAAGUAGAGUAAUUAUAGGGGAUUUGUGUAUAAAUAUGUGAUCUUCUAUUUCAUAGAAUUAAUAAGAAAAAGAUGCAUUUCCUUCUCUUCCCUUCUCUUUCUUCUUUCUACUUCUAAUUCUUAGAUCUUAACAAUACCCAGUGGAGUUGAGUAAACAUCAAAACAAGGGACAAAAUGGGUAAAAAUUAAGCCAAGGGAACUUGUUAA